GGUUCCUUAGCUCAGCGGGAGAGCACUACCUUGACAUGGUAGGGGUCGCUGGUUCAAUCCCAGUAGGGACCA
Molecule: transfer RNA, 72 nt
Filed under: Trichococcus pasteurii
Lineage: Bacteria; Bacillati; Bacillota; Bacilli; Lactobacillales; Carnobacteriaceae
Also listed under: 11 other names
Rfam family: tRNA
About the family: Transfer RNA (tRNA) molecules are approximately 80 nucleotides in length. Their secondary structure includes four short double-helical elements and three loops (D, anti-codon, and T loops).
Source: RNAcentral